RNAcentral lists this ribosomal RNA (492 nucleotides) under uncultured bacterium. RNAcentral's name for it is "partial 16S ribosomal RNA". It matches the Rfam family "Bacterial small subunit ribosomal RNA", at positions 29 to 507 of the family's 1533-position model. The record is from RNAcentral.
AGUGAACGCUGGCGGUAGGCCUAACACAUGCGAGUCGAACGGCAGCACAGUAAGAGCUUGCUCUUACGGGUGGCGAGUGGCGGACGGGUGAGGAAUACAUCGGAAUCUACUUUUUCGUGGGGGAUAACGUAGGGAAACUUACGCUAAUACCGCAUACGACCUACGGGUGAAAGCAGGGGAUCUUCGGACCUUGCGCGACUGAAUGAGCCGAUGUCGGAUUAGCUAGUUGGCGGGGUAAAGGCCCACCAAGGCGACGAUCCGUAGCUGGUCUGAGAGGAUGAUCAGCCACACUGGAACUGAGACACGGUCCAGACUCCUACGGGAGGCAGCAGUGGGGAAUAUUGGACAAUGGGCGCAAGCCUGAUCCAGCCAUACCGCGUGGGUGAAGAAGGCCUUCGGGUUGUAAAGCCCUUUUGUUGGGAAAGAAAAGCAGCAGGUUAAUACCCCGCUGUUCUGACGGUACCCAAAGAAUAAGCACCGGCUAACUUCGUG